This 301-nucleotide ribosomal RNA is filed under the name uncultured bacterium. Its description in RNAcentral is "partial 16S ribosomal RNA". It matches the Rfam family "Bacterial small subunit ribosomal RNA", at positions 509 to 808 of the family's 1533-position model. The record is from RNAcentral.
CAGUCGCCACGGGAAUACGGAGGGUGCAAGCGUUAAUCGGAAUUACUGGGCGUAAAGCGCACGCAGGCGGUCUGACAAGUCAGAUGUGAAAUCCCCGGGCUUAACCUGGGAACUGCAUUUGAAACUGUCAGGCUGGAGUCUUGUAGAGGGGGGUGGAAUUCCAGGUGUAGCGGUGAAAUGCGUAGAGAUCUGGAGGAAUACCGGUGGCGAAGGCGGCCCCCUGGACAAAGACUGACGCUCAGGUGCGAAAGCGUGGGGAGCAAACAGGAUUAGAUACCCUGUAGUCCCUGUCUCUUAUACA